Molecule: ribosomal RNA, 496 nt
Filed under: uncultured bacterium
Lineage: Bacteria
Description: partial 16S ribosomal RNA
Rfam family: Bacterial small subunit ribosomal RNA
Source: RNAcentral
AUGAACGCUGGCGGCGUGCCUAAUACAUGCAAGUCGAGCGAACGGACGAGAAGCUUGCUUCUCUGAUGUUAGCGGCGGACGGGUGAGUAACACGUGGAUAACCUACCUAUAAGACUGGGAUAACUUCGGGAAACCGGAGCUAAUACCGGAUAAUAUUUUGAACCGCAUGGUUCAAAAGUGAAAGACGGUCUUGCUGUCACUUAUAGAUGGAUCCGCGCUGCAUUAGCUAGUUGGUAAGGUAACGGCUUACCAAGGCAACGAUGCAUAGCCGACCUGAGAGGGUGAUCGGCCACACUGGAACUGAGACACGGUCCAGACUCCUACGGGAGGCAGCAGUAGGGAAUCUUCCGCAAUAGGCGAAAGCCUGACGGAGCAACGCCGCGUGAGUGAUGAAGGUCUUCGGAUCGUAAAACUCUGUUAUUAGGGAAGAACAUAUGUGUAAGUAACUGUGCACAUCUUGACGGUACCUAAUCAGAAAGCCACGGCUAACUACGUG